GGGCCGGUGGUCUAGCUUGGUAUGACGCCGCCCUCACGCGGCGGAGGACCCCGGUUCAAAUCCGGGCCGGCCCACCA
This 77-nucleotide transfer RNA is filed under the name archaeon. RNAcentral's name for it is "tRNA-Val". It matches the Rfam family "tRNA". From Rfam's summary of the family: Transfer RNA (tRNA) molecules are approximately 80 nucleotides in length. The record is from RNAcentral. RNAcentral also lists the same sequence under 1 other name.